This 253-nucleotide ribosomal RNA is filed under the name uncultured bacterium. Its description in RNAcentral is "partial 16S ribosomal RNA". It matches the Rfam family "Bacterial small subunit ribosomal RNA", at positions 524 to 776 of the family's 1533-position model. The record is from RNAcentral.
UACGUAGGUGACAAGCGUUGUCCGGAUUUACUGGGCGUAAAGAGCGCGCAGGCGGUCGUUCAAGUCGAGUGUGAAAGCCCCCGGCUCAACUGGGGAGGGUCAUUCGAUACUGAUCGACUCGAAGGCAGGAGAGGGUAGUGGAAUUCCCGGUGUAGUGGUGAAAUGCGUAGAUAUCGGGAGAAACACCAGUGGCGAAGGCGACUACCUGGCCUGUUCUUGACGCUGAGGUGCGAAAGCGUGGGGAGCAAACAGG